GGGAGCCGUAGUUUGCCAACCCCUGACUUACACAGACCCCACUUUCACGCUUAGAAAUAAUUUGCUUCUUUACCUCUUAGAGUUAUCAUGGUUCUCUUCCUUUUGCUAAUUUUAUCCAUGUCAGCAGUCCCACAGUUAAUCAAUAAGUAGCUGAACUGGGUUCCACACAGUCCCCCAAACAAUGGCACAAGGCAGAGUUCCCCAAAAGUCCCCAAAACGAAGGAGCAAAGCAGAGACAAAGGCACAAGGCAGACUCCCAAAAACAAUGGAACAAAGAAGAAUCCCAAAAUUUUCCACUCACCCCCUCCCACAGGGUGGGUGGGCUUACCUGGCCAGGUGCCACUCACCUUGCUACCAGCUGGGGGGGGCAGGGCCAGUAAAGGGCUGAUGCUUUUCGGCCCAGGCUCACUUUGUUUUCUUACCAGGUUCACCGCUGGACUUCGCUCUUGGUCUUGGUUAGGUAAGUGUUUCUCGUCGGGGUUUGGAGCUACGGUGUGGCCUGCUGGGCCCCCUAUGGCCGGCACUGCUUCCGCGGCUUUGGGGGCGGGGUGAGGGCCGCGGUGCGGCCUGCUAGGCCUCCUGCGGCUGGUGUCUUCUUCCCCCGACAGCGGGGGCCGAAUCCAGGCUUCACAGGUUGCGCGGUCUAGCUCUGGGCCGUGGGGUGGCCUACUGAGGCCUCCCGCGGUGAGAGCCCGGCAGCAGAGGCUGAAUCAAGUCCACACAGGUGCUGGGGCCUAGUUCCGGGCCACGGCGCAGCCUACCAAGGCCUCCCACAGCCAGAGCCCACAAAUUCGCAUUCCAAAAAAAUAAUACGCAAAUCGGAAUACUCAUUUCCAGGGAUGAAGUGUUCAUGAUCCAAAUAGUUCAUUAACCAGGCUGUUCGUAACCCAAGGUACCACUGUACUUAUCUUUUGUUUCUUGGUCCAUCUAGUUCAUGCUCGCUAAGAGACUCUACAGGAUGUGUUGAAUAUAGAAACUGCAUUAAUUUUAAGUUUGUUUGGUACAGAUAUUAUUAGGAGCAAUGUGUGUAAGAAAGGGAGAGUAGCUUGUGUUAUAGACUAUUUACCAAUAUUCAUGCAGUAACUUCCGCUAAAUGUGAUCUCAUAGCUCUGACUUUUUUCUUGUUCCUUCCUUCAGUCCAUAAGUUAAAGGAUUUUACCCACUCUUCACUAACAUUAAAUAAUCUUUAACUUUCACUUGAAAUACUUUUGUUACUUCAAAAGGACGUUCUCUUUCGGAUAAUCUACAGGCUUCUUAGGAAGGUCUGAAUAUAGGUAUACAAUAUAUCAUUUCUGUCCUGGUAAUUUUGUGCUAAAUAACUGAUCACAUACUGCUACUUACAGAACUCAGGACAAGGACACUCAGCAUAUUACAUUAAGGACAACAGUUAGAAAUUUCCUUUUAUUUAAUACAUCUGAAUCACUAUUCCCUGCAAAAUGCUGGAUGGUGCACAUUCAAGGUCAGUUUGCAUUAUGCUCUGCAGCACGUGGAUUGAGUGAAUGCUUCUUUAACUUGCCUUGCAUGUUUUAUUAAGCUUCUGUAUGAUGAGUCAAGAUGAAGCAUCUACAGAUCUCAUGUCACGCUCACGGGCAAAGGGACUGAGCCACAUGAUGUCCUGAUCCAUAGUGAUGUCCACCACCAAAGGAAGGUGAUAACCCAAACAAGGUGGAUAUCAGUAGGCCAGGAACCAGAAGGGAAGGUAACAGAUGACUAGGGUAGGCAAAGCAAGGAUAAUGACCAAGAUUAGCUAAGGCAGGAGUUACACAGUGGUUUCUUAGAGCAACUGGAAGAGAUGGCAGCCUGUCUGCUUUAUGCUGCACUUAGACUGUUAAAGGACUGGUAUGUUCCUCUAGACUGGAGUUUCAAGCUGUGAGGACUCCCUAGAGCAGGGGUCAGCAAACUUUUUCAGCCGGGGGCCGGUCUACUGUCCUUCAGACCUUGUGGGGGGCCGGACUAUAUUUUGAAGGGGGGGAACGAAUUCCUAUGCCACACAAAUAACCCAGAUAUGCAUUUUAAAUAAAAGCACACAUUCUACUCAUGUAAAAACACCAGGCAGGCCCCACAAAUAACCCAGAGAUGCAUUUUAAAUAAAAGGACACUGAACCACCCGCAGGCCAGAUUUAGAAGGCGAUUGGGCCGAAUCUGGCCCCCGAGCCUUAGUUAGCCUACCCAUGCCCUAGAGGAAGGCUUGGGGGUCUCCUGAUCCCUCCAAGGAGUCUGUGGUCUGGUCAUCAAGAGUCCAGUGGCAGGAGGAUCUCCUCAAGGUUCAGCGCAUGAGAUGUGCCAGCAGUUUCACAGAGGAAAGGUUGGGGAGUGGCUCCAACUCCUCAGGACUACUGUUGUGGAAGGAUCUGCAUCUGAGGAUUGCUGGUCUGGAGCCACUGGAAGGAUGUGCAAUUAAAGAGCUUCACAGAGCCCUUUAAUUGAGCUCUGUGAAUUUAAAUUGCUAUCUAGCUUCUCCUGUAUUUGUUUCCACCAAAGAAAAGUGGAAGAAACUGAGGAGCACUGGCCCUGCUUUGUCUUUCAUCUACUACCUUGUAUUUUCACUUUUGGAAACUACUUUUGAGAUGAUGUUCACUCUUAACAAUCUCUAGAUCAGAGGCAGACAUUGCAGUGUCCUCUACAUGUUGUUGGAUUACAGCUCCCAUCAGCCCCAGCCAGAAUAGCCAAUGGUCACAGGUGAUGGAAAUUGUAGUCCAGCAUCACAUGGGGGGCACCAUAUAGGCUUCCCUGAUUUAGAUUUAAAUUUAGCAAGGUAUGGGAAUCAUUUUACUUUACUCUUCUGAUGGUUACUUCUCAUAUUGUUCCCUAGUUUAAUUCGCAUUGAAAACUAGGCAUAACUUGCUACAGGAGGAUUCAAUUGCAUGAGGUCAUACCACGUGGCACACAUAGCUGUAAUAACUUAGAGUGCAGUACUCAAUGAUAAGAAAAUAUAUUUAGAUGCCCUUAAGUUCAUUAGAGAUUGCCAAAGGUCGCACUUUAUGUUCCGCUAAUUUUAUUGAAGUUUAUUGUUAUGGCAGUGACCUGAACUCUGGCUGUGUGGCCUUUAACACAUAGUAUAUAUAUAUUCUGCAAGAAAUUCAAUUUUAAUUUUAGAUAACAUAUGGUUAAGUUAUUGCUUCAUUAAUCAAAAUCGGUUGAUCAACUGUAAGCUCAAGUAACAAAAGUAUCUAACUUGAAUGAAAGCAGGCUCAAACACUCAGCAGAAAUUUCCAUAUGAUAUUGUUUAAAUUAAACACGUAUAUGGCUCCACUAUACAAAAAGCAGGAUUUCAAACUGUUCAAUUAAUGCCUAACAAAUGGCAUAUUUUAAGCAAUAUCUGAGAGCCUCCAACUGCACCCUUCAUGUCCCUGGAGAGUAGAGAUGUUGCUUCAUUAGGCCGACAUAACCACCUGGUGUUGAAUUUCCAGUGUCUUGAGAAUUUGUAACAUCUGGUACAUACUGUGAUCUCCUUUUACGUAUGUUUCAUCUUUUAUUGUAAUUUUAUGACAAAUGGAUUAAUUAAUAUGGUGUACAUUAUUUGAGAUAUUCAGCUUAAUAUAAAGCAACAUUUAGAACACAGAUGCACCCAAAAAAUUGAAAUACCUUAAGAAAUGCUGCUAAUAUUGGUCAAGUCUUAUUGUUAUUCUGUGGCAACUGUUGUUUGUGGUUAACUAUGGAUUAUGGCCGCCAAAAAUUGCAUGGCAAUAUGUAAACAAAAAUCUUCACCUGUUUUCAGUUUUUAUAUUUUAAGAUUUCUUCUUAAACAAAAAAUAAAAUGAACUGAUCCCUUCCUGCAAGCUCUUCGUCUUCACCUUGACCUGCUGCUAAUUAGACUGAAUAUUCUUGUGUACUUUAAAUUUUGCCUUUCAUAUAGUAGUUAGAAGAAUGAUUGGCAUUUCAUAGUUUCCUUCCCCUCCUUGCUCACCCUUUCUCUGCCUUUCAGAACUUCCUUUCAUUUUACCUAGCCUUCUCAGUUAUGUAGUAAUGCCAAGUUGAAGAUGUUUGGAUAGAGUCAAAUGGUUUUUCUUUAAUGGUGUUUUGGAUGUUCGGUUCAGUUAGCAGGAGCUCAUCAAGAAUAGAAAGAAAUAUCUUGUAGGCAAGAACUUGAGGCCCUUCUUUGUAUGGUAGUAUGGGCUGGGAACUGAUUGGGGAGAGAAGUUAGCAAGUUGAUUGUUGAGGAGUAUCUGGAAUUGUCCUUGGUCCCAAAAUAACCACCACAUCUGUGAAAUUUCACAGGAUGUUUCCUAACUGAUACAGAUCAGUAUCUCCAUCUCAACUCAUAAGUAUGCAAGUAACUAAUCUGAGGUCUAAUAUUUCUGUUGUAAGUUGUUUGUGGUGUGCUUGAAUUUUUAAUUUUUUUAUUUGCCAUGAAUAUGCUAAGUUACUUGUAUCUGUCUCAGUUCUCCAGCUGUAAAAUUGGGGGAGAGAUGGAAUCAAUAAAGGACUGAUUCAUUUAAGAAUGUGUAUUGGAUUGGUUCAAAUGGAACAAUUUAUUUCUGUUUCCUUUUGUUGUGCAGAUAUCGUUAAACACUACUUGUUGUACACUUUGCCAAGUGCAUUGCGGUACUUGUGCAACAAUUUCUAGAGUGGUACUUUCAUAUUACUUGACUUGUGAUUGACUUGCCAAAAUGGUAGACCACCAUUAUUUAUUUAUUUUUAGUAUAAUGACCACAGAAUGGUUGAGGUUGGAUUGGAAGGAGAAGCUAAAAAGUCAAAUUUUCUUCAGAUGUGAGAAAGGGACAGAGACUGCAAUCUUUAAUGUAUUGGCUCCUGGUGCUGCUGCUUGAUCAUGGCUUGUUUAACUAUUUGGAAUAUUAGACAAGUCAAAGGGACAAAUUUUAAUAAGUGCUGAUCUGACAUAAAUAAUUCACCAACUGCAAUUUCAUCAUUAUAAAAAUCACGGACAUUUUUUGUGAGGCAUUAAAACGUGCUUAUAUUUUAAUCACCAACGAUAGGGUUUUGCCAGUAAGACCUUAUUCUUCCUCUAUUUUUUAUAUAUUUGUGUUUUUCUAAUAUAUCCAGAUGUGAGAUUGCUUGUAUAAUAAUAUUGUGAAGCUGAAGUUCUGAAAAAGAAGAAAGAGAGAAAAGAGCAGCUCUGGAAUGGCAAUAUGUCAAGAAACCUCUGCUAUUUGUUAAACGCUGUUUUCAUUUUAACGGUUAUAAAAAUGAGAAGUGUCCUUAAUAUUGGGCUCUAUUGAUCAGUAAAGGUCAGGGGCAGGCUGUACAUUGCAUGUACCUACCAUUGCAGAGUAGCCGGCUAGCU
This is a non-coding RNA of Podarcis lilfordi (Lilford's wall lizard), 5245 nucleotides long. NCBI's taxonomy places the organism in Eukaryota, Metazoa, Chordata, Lepidosauria, Squamata, Lacertidae. The record is from the annotation of a GenBank genome assembly.